GGGCUUUAUGAGUUUAUUUACUUAUUCUUUAUCCAUUUUUAAACAAAACCGACAUUGAUUUAGUGCAACAUAGUUUUUGCCAAAAAGUAUGGCUUCUUGCGUUCUCUAGAUUUGUCUGAUUUUACACUAAAUUUUGUAUAACUUGUGACUUCCGCUAGGAUUUUUUCUGUUAAUUAUGAAAACAUCAGUCCCUACUCUCGUUCCAAAGAUUUUUUUUACUCUCAUUUUCCUCGAUUUCCAUUUUCCUCAACUGGUUUAUACCAGCCUGCUGUUCAGGGCUCGAUAGACGGGAUUUUCUUGCUGCGUUGAAGACACAUUGGUAGUCUUAGGCUGUUGUCUGCUUCUUGAUCGGGUGGUUGUCUCUUUAACAUAUUCCCCAUUUACACUCAUUUCUAUAUUGUGUGUUUUUCUUCUAAAUUGGUUAUGGCAUCAGUGUUAAUUGCUUUCAACUCUGAUUAUGCUGUUACACAAUGU
This 474-nucleotide long non-coding RNA is filed under the name Mytilus galloprovincialis (Mediterranean mussel). The record is from RNAcentral. Lineage: Eukaryota; Metazoa; Mollusca; Bivalvia; Mytilida; Mytilidae.